RNAcentral lists this ribosomal RNA (398 nucleotides) under uncultured bacterium. Its description in RNAcentral is "bacterial SSU rRNA". It matches the Rfam family "Bacterial small subunit ribosomal RNA", at positions 29 to 456 of the family's 1533-position model. The record is from RNAcentral.
AACGAACGCUGGCGGCAUGCCUAACACAUGCAAGUCGAACGAGACCUUCGGGUCUAGUGGCGCACGGGUGCGUAACACGUGGGAAUUUGCCUCGGGGUAUGGAAUAACUCAGGGAAACUUGAGCUAAUACCAUAUAAUGUCUUCGGACCAAAGAUUUAUCGCCCUGAGAUAAGCCCGCGUAGGAUUAGCUAGUUGGUGGGGUAAAGGCUCACCAAGGCGACGAUCCUUAGCUGGUCUGAGAGGAUGAUCAGCCACACUGGGACUGAGACACGGCCCAGACUCCUACGGGAGGCAGCAGUGGGGAAUUUUGGACAAUGGGCGCAAGCCUGAUCCAGCAAUGCCGCGUGCAGGAUGAAGGCCUCGGUUGUAACUGACUUUGUUACGGUAACGAAACGGUA